This is a long non-coding RNA of Empidonax traillii (willow flycatcher), 390 nucleotides long. RefSeq lists it as uncharacterized. The transcript is spliced from 2 exons. The record is from RefSeq and is a predicted model, not a curated record. NCBI's taxonomy places the organism in Eukaryota, Metazoa, Chordata, Aves, Passeriformes, Tyrannidae.
CAACUAUGAGCGCCCAGACUGCCGGCCCCGAGCUGAGCCACGUCUGUCCCUGAGGACGAUGGUUUCCACACUCGAGUGGGGCUCCAGUGUGGGAACAGACCCCGGUGUGAGGCUGGGGGGACACUGGCGUGGCCUUUGAGAAGGAGCUGCGCUGCUGGGUGCCCGUGUGCAGGUUACGAGCGCUCCCACCCGAGAGCUGGCCGAGCACCAGGGCAGGGUCACUGCACAGGCACGAGCAGCCUGUCUCCCUCUAUCGAGUCACGUGGAGAAAAAGAUGAUACACUCCAUGGCAUAGCUGACAGUGUCGAAUCGAUCAUGACAACAGUAGUUGGUUAACAGUGUUUCUUCCAAGGAGACAUAUAUUUUUAAUAAACAGAGAGUUGCAAAGAA